UAUAGACCAAAAAAGUAACAGAAUUUAACCCCAGGCCCAACAGAUAACCGCUCAAUGUCCCAUUUAACCGCUCAACGGUUUCCUUCUCGUCGCGCCACCGCUCAGCGGUCAAUUUAACCGCUGAGCGGUUUGCCUCUAAUCGCUCCAGCCGCUCAACGUUGGAUUUGGCCGCUAAGCGGUUCACCUAACUCUUCUUUUCAUC
Molecule: long non-coding RNA, 202 nt
Filed under: Vigna radiata
Lineage: Eukaryota; Viridiplantae; Streptophyta; Magnoliopsida; Fabales; Fabaceae
Description: long non-coding RNA (VRAD_LNC012527)
Source: RNAcentral